UACGGAGGGGGCUAGCGUUGUUCGGAAUUACUGGGCGUAAAGCGCACGCAGGCGGUCUGCUAAGUUUGGAGUGACAGUUGGAGGCUUAACUGCCAAAGUGCUUCGAAAACUGACAGACUUGAGGGCUUCAGAGGGACACGGAAUUCCGGGUGGAGUGGUGAAAUGCGUAGAGAUCCGGAGGAACACCAAAGGCGAAGGCAGUGUCCUGGGGAGUACCUGACGCUCAGGUGCGAAAGCCAGGGGAGCGAACGGG
This 253-nucleotide ribosomal RNA is filed under the name uncultured bacterium. RNAcentral's name for it is "partial 16S ribosomal RNA". It matches the Rfam family "Bacterial small subunit ribosomal RNA", at positions 524 to 776 of the family's 1533-position model. The record is from RNAcentral.